This is a long non-coding RNA of Melanotaenia boesemani (Boeseman's rainbowfish), 293 nucleotides long. RefSeq lists it as uncharacterized. NCBI's taxonomy places the organism in Eukaryota, Metazoa, Chordata, Actinopteri, Atheriniformes, Melanotaeniidae. The record is from RefSeq and is a predicted model, not a curated record. The transcript is spliced from 3 exons.
UCAAAUUCCUAUUAAAAAUGAUAUAUUAACACACUUGUGUGGAUUUAAUACAGGUUCAGAGGCAGCUGUCCAUCAGUCGGGAGAUAAAUGGUUGCUGUGGACAGAAGUCAUGAAAUAAUGUCCAUGUUUUUCUUUUAAAAGUUCAGGGGCAGCUGUCCAUCAGUCGGGACAUAAAUGGUGGUGGACAGAAGUCAUGAAAUAAUGUCAAUGUUUUUCUUUUAAAAGUUCAGGGGCAGCUGUCCAUCAGUCGGGACAUAAAUGGUUGCUGUGAACAGAAGUCAUGAAAUAAUGUC